UGUGGGAGCUGGCUUGCCUGCGAUAGCGGUGGGUCAGUUAGCCCAUACGGUUCUGACCCACCGCUAUCGCAGGCAAGCCAGCUCCCACA
This 89-nucleotide unclassified non-coding RNA is filed under the name Pseudomonas yamanorum. Lineage: Bacteria; Pseudomonadati; Pseudomonadota; Gammaproteobacteria; Pseudomonadales; Pseudomonadaceae. The record is from RNAcentral.